UCCGUUCUCAUCCUCGUGGUGAGAAUCAGUUGACUGUCAUACUUCCAAGAAAAGCUCGAACUACUGUACACAAUAAAGUACCUGUACCGUAAACCGGCACAGGUGGGUUAGUAGAGUAUACUAAGGGGCGCGAGAUAACUCUCUCUAAGGAACUCGGCAAAAUGACCCCGUAACUUCGGGAGAAGGGGUGCCAAGUAUGAAAAUUGCUUGGUCGCAGUGACCAGGCCCUGGCGACUGUUUAUCAAAAACACAGGUCUCCGCAAAGUCGUAAGACAACAUAUGGGGGCUGACGCCUGCCCAGUGCCGGAAGGUUAAAGAAGUUGGUUAUUCAUUCGUGGAGAAGCUGACGACUGAAGCCCCGGUGAACGGCGGCCGUAACUAUAACGGUCCUAAGGUAGCGAAAUUCCCUGUCGGGUAAGUUCCGACCCGCACGAAAGGCGUAACGAUCAGGGCACUGUCUCGGAGAGAGACUCGGUGAAAUAGACAUGUCUGUGAAGAUGCGGACUACCUGCACCUGGACAGAGAGACCCUAUGAAGCUUGACUGUAGCUUGGAAUUGGGUUCGGGCUCUUCUUGCGCAGCCUAGGUGGGAGGCGUUGAAGGUUUUCUUUUGGGAAAGCUGGAGCCAACAGUGAGAGACCACUCUGGAGGAGCUAGAAUUCUAAUGGCGUUCCUUGAAGCAGGACGCUUGACAGUUUCAGGUGGGCAGUUUGACUGGGGCGGUCACCUCCUAAAAGGUAACGGAGGUGUGCAAAGGUUCCCUCAGGCUGGACGGAAAUCAGCCAGAGAGUGUAAAGGCAGAAGGGAGCUUGACUGCAAGACCUACAAGUCGAGCAGGGGCGAAAGCCGGCCUUAGUGAUCCGACGGUUCCGUGUGGAAGGGCCGUCGCUCAACGGAUAAAAGUUACUCUAAGGAUAACAGGCUGAUCUUCCCCAAGAGUUCACAUCGACGGGAAGGUUUGGCACCUCGAUGUCGGCUCAUCGCAACCUGGGGCGGUAGUACGUCCCAAGGGUUGGGCUGUUCGCCCAUGAAAGCGGUACGUGAGCUGGGUUCAGAACGUCGUGAGACAGUUCGGUCCAUAUCCGGUGUAGGCGUUAGAGCAUUGAGAGGAGCCUUCCAUAGUACGAGAGGACCUGGAAGGACGCACCUCUGGUAUACCAGUUAUCAUGCCAAUGGUAAACGCUGGGUAGCCAUGUGUGGAGUGGAUAACCGCUGAAAGCAUCUAAGUGGGAAGCCCACCUCAAGAUGAGUGCUCUCCAUUAGGCCACGGGAAGACAAUCCGUUUGAUAGGCAGAAGGUGUAAGGCCAGUAAUGGUUUCAGCUGAUCUGUACUAAUAGGCCGAAUGAUUUU
Molecule: ribosomal RNA, 1350 nt
Filed under: metagenome
Description: bacterial LSU rRNA
Rfam family: Bacterial large subunit ribosomal RNA
Source: RNAcentral